RNAcentral lists this long non-coding RNA (690 nucleotides) under Rattus norvegicus (Norway rat). RNAcentral describes it as "long non-coding RNA NONRATT000401". Lineage: Eukaryota; Metazoa; Chordata; Mammalia; Rodentia; Muridae. The record is from RNAcentral.
CAGUCCUGUCCCCUUAGCUCCAAGGCUCCUGGACUUCCAAAAGGGGCACACCUCUGGCCUGCCUUUGAACUGAAGCUCCCCAGGAUGCACCAAGGACCCAACCUCACCUGUCCUGGGGAAGCCAAAGGUAGAGCUGAGGCAGCCAGCUGUUCCCCGAGGCAGGGCUGUCAUCAAACUACAGGGGACAGGUCCUACCUCCCAAAAGCACACGGCCCAGGAGCCUACACAGAGGCUGAGCAUCAGGAAACUAUCCCCUGUCAGACAUGAGAGGAGAGGGAAGGUAUUUAAGCAGAGAGGUGAACAACUCAAAAUAGCUUUCAGGAAGGCCCUGAAACUGACUGGAUUCACUAAGCCUUUCCCUGCCAGAGAAAACAAUGAAGACUGCAAAGAAUAGCCAAGCUACAGAGAAGACAAGACCAAACCAGCUGCCUAGAAGAAACAGAGACUAGUUGAGGUGCCUGGAAGAUGUUUAGACCAACUGAGUCACUAGGAGAGGAUAGUCGCCAACAUGCUGAGCUGCCUGUAUGCUGUGCAGUGUACUCUAGGCUCCCACUUUGUGAGCUGUCACCCGUGUUAGAGUGGGCUUUGGUGAUAUGACUUGACUUUGAGUCAUUUCUGCUCCUAUACACGUAACCCCUUACCUAUACUCCUGUAAGUAACCCCAAUAAAACCCAGUGCUUUACCAUGUUG